GAUGAACGCUGGCGGCGUGCCUAAUACAUGCAAGUCGAACGCUGGAAAUCUAGCUUGCUAGAUUGAAGGAGUGGCGAACGGGUGAGUAAUACAUAAGCAACCUACCCACGAAGACUGGGAUAAUCUCUGGAAACGGGGACUAAUACCGGAUAGGUAAUCGGAAGGCAUCUUCUGAUUAUUAAAGGUUAAAAACACUGGUGGAUGGGCUUAUGGCGCAUUAGUUAGUUGGUGAGGUAACGGCCCACCAAGACGAUGAUGCGUAGCCGGCCUGAGAGGGUGAACGGCAACAUUGGGACUGAGACACGGACCAGACUCCUACGGGAGGCAGCAGUAGGGAAUUUUCGGCAAUGGGGGAAACCCUGACCGAGCAACGCCGCGUGAGUGAUGACGGCCUUCGGGUUGUAAAGCUCUGUUGUAAGGGAAGAACGGUAGAUAGAGAAUAUCUAAAUGACGGUACCUUACCAGAAAGCCACGGCUAACUACGUG
Molecule: ribosomal RNA, 486 nt
Filed under: uncultured bacterium
Lineage: Bacteria
Description: partial 16S ribosomal RNA
Rfam family: Bacterial small subunit ribosomal RNA
Source: RNAcentral